UACAGAGGGUGCAAGCGUUAAUCGGAAUUACUGGGCGUAAAGCGUGCGUAGACGGUUAUUUAAGUCAGGUGUGAAAGCCCCGGGCUUAACCCGGGAAUGGCAUUGGAUACUGCAGAUCUGGAGGAUCGGAGGGGGGACUGGAAUUCUUGGUGUAGCAGUGAAAUGCGUAGAUAUCAAGAGGAACACCAGUGGCGAAGGCGAGUCCCUGGACGAUACCUGACACUGAGGCACGAAAGCCGGGGGAGCAAACAGG
This 253-nucleotide ribosomal RNA is filed under the name uncultured bacterium. RNAcentral describes it as "partial 16S ribosomal RNA". It matches the Rfam family "Bacterial small subunit ribosomal RNA", at positions 524 to 776 of the family's 1533-position model. The record is from RNAcentral.